This 465-nucleotide ribosomal RNA is filed under the name Vreelandella stevensii. RNAcentral describes it as "partial 16S ribosomal RNA". It matches the Rfam family "Bacterial small subunit ribosomal RNA", at positions 338 to 795 of the family's 1533-position model. The record is from RNAcentral. Lineage: Bacteria; Pseudomonadati; Pseudomonadota; Gammaproteobacteria; Oceanospirillales; Halomonadaceae.
CCUACGGGAGGCAGCAGUGGGGAAUAUUGGACAAUGGGGGGAACCCUGAUCCAGCCAUGCCGCGUGUGUGAAGAAGGCCCUCGGGUUGUAAAGCACUUUCAGUGAGGAAGAACGCCUGGUGGUUAAUACCCAUCAGGAAAGACAUCACUCACAGAAGAAGCACCGGCUAACUCCGUGCCAGCAGCCGCGGUAAUACGGAGGGUGCGAGCGUUAAUCGGAAUUACUGGGCGUAAAGCGCGCGUAGGUGGCUUGAUAAGCCGGUUGUGAAAGCCCCGGGCUCAACCUGGGAACGGCAUCCGGAACUGUCAAGCUAGAGUGCAGGAGAGGAAGGUAGAAUUCCCGGUGUAGCGGUGAAAUGCGUAGAGAUCGGGAGGAAUACUAGUGGCGAAGGCGGCCUUCUGGACUGACACUGACACUGAGGUGCGAAAGCGUGGGUAGCAAACAGGAUUAGAUACCCCAGUAGUC